Molecule: ribosomal RNA, 274 nt
Filed under: uncultured bacterium
Lineage: Bacteria
Description: partial 16S ribosomal RNA
Rfam family: Bacterial small subunit ribosomal RNA
Source: RNAcentral
AUACGGAGGGUCCGAGCGUUAUCCGGAAUCAUUGGGUUUAAAGGGUCCGUAGGCGGGAAUCUAAGUCAGUGGUGAAAUCUUGCAGCUCAACUGUAAAAUUGCCAUUGAUACUGGAUUUCUUGAAUUAGUGUGAAGUGGUUAGAAUGUGUAGUGUAGCGGUGAAAUGCAUAGAUAUUACACAGAAUACCAAUUGCGAAGGCAGAUCACUAACACUAUAUUGACGCUAAGGGACGAAAGCGUGGGGAGCGAACAGGAUCAGAAACCCCGGUAGUCC